Molecule: ribosomal RNA, 305 nt
Filed under: uncultured bacterium
Lineage: Bacteria
Description: bacterial SSU rRNA
Rfam family: Bacterial small subunit ribosomal RNA
Source: RNAcentral
CCUACGGGAGGCAGCAGUGGGGGAUAUUGCACAAUGGGGGGAACCCUGAUGCAGCGACGCCGCGUGGGCGAUGGAGUACUUCGGUAUGUAAAGCCCUAUCAGCAGGGAAGAAAAUGACGGUACCUGACUAAGAAGCCCCGGCUAAAUACGUGCCAGCAGCCGCGGUAAUACGUAUGGGGCAAGCGUUAUCCGGAUUUACUGGGUGUAAAGGGAGCGUAGGCGGCUUUUCAAGUCAGGGGUGAAAUCCCACGGCCCAACCGUGGAACUGCCUUUGAAACUGUAGAGCUUGAGUGUCGGAGAGGGUG